CAAGUGUCUCUACCUCUAAUUUCCUUUUGUGCAAUUUUCUCUUUCUGACAACUCCCUCCACAUGAAGAUCUCCGUUCAGCAAGCCCAGGCUUAUGGGUUCCUCCAGCUUACAACCUCAAGGAGAAAGAGAUCCUUAUGCUGCUGGUAGCCAUAUCGAUUUUCUCUCCAGGCAUCUCUGAUUGGGUGUGUUGGGGUCAUGGGACCUUUCCUGGGCCCAUCACUACCUCUAGAAGCUAUACUCCUUAUGUGGCGGAUAUGGAGGCUUCUAUUUGGCAACCACAGAAUCAUGCCCAGUGGAAGCAGGGUGUCCUUGUUCUCACCGUGGCUGAUUCCAAGCUACCAACGCGGUUUCACCAAAGGCGGAGCUGGGAAGAAAUGCACAGUGGCCCACUGUUGUCAUAGAGCAUUUUCGCUGUGUAGAUAAAAUAGAUGUAAAUCACCCCAAAAGCAUAGAUAACUAAUUGUCAACUGUAGUCAAAUAAUUAGGAAGAGGUGAGU
RNAcentral lists this long non-coding RNA (498 nucleotides) under Mustela putorius furo (domestic ferret). Its description in RNAcentral is "lncRNA (ENSMPUG00000029156.1)". Lineage: Eukaryota; Metazoa; Chordata; Mammalia; Carnivora; Mustelidae. The record is from RNAcentral.